Molecule: long non-coding RNA, 484 nt
Filed under: Suricata suricatta (meerkat)
Lineage: Eukaryota; Metazoa; Chordata; Mammalia; Carnivora; Herpestidae
Description: lncRNA (ENSSSUG00005004475.1)
Source: RNAcentral
AAACCUGGCUCAGGUAAAACUAUAAAUUGUACUUUAUUCCUUGCAGAAGACAAUCAAAACAAAAAAUGUGGAGAGAAAACCAUCGGUGAUGAAACCUUGACAGCACAUCAUUCAUGGCAGCUUAAGCCUGAGGUGCAAAGAGUUAAUGGAUGACAACCAAGAAGUACCAUAGGAUCUACAACGCAGUUUGGCGAUGGCAGAGAUCUGACACAAGAACUAAGGAAAGACCCCAGGUCAUCUGAGUCAUUUGAAAGCUGUAUCAUGCCUCAAAUUCCUGAGGCAUAGGACUUUGAUCCAUAUGGACUUCUCCACCAAGAUCCAUCUGCCCCACUCCAAAUCAGGCAACCUAAUAUACCUCAAAGAACCUUAACCACCACUUUUUAAGGGACAAUCUUUAUCCUUCCUCCCUUAUUUUUUCUAAUCCCUACUCUGCUUUGUGAUUUCUAUGAUAAUGAAAGAAAAAAAGGAAUUCAGAUAAAUCAAA